UACAUGUGUAUAUGUGACAUGUGUUCAGAAGUCAGAAGCACUGGACCUCCUGGUACUGGAAUUACUGGCUGUUCUGAGGCACUUCUUGCAUGGAUGCUGGGAACCUGUCUUGAGUCCUCUGGUAGAGCAGCAAGUGGUCUUAAUUGCUGAGCCAUCUCUCCAGCUACAGCGGUGAAAGGUUUCUGAGAGCAGUUCUCCAACUGUAUUUCCCAGACAAAUCAGAAGAAUCAGUAAAACCAGGUGCUUCAUCUACAUGUAUGUCUAUGUGUCUUAUGUGUGCCUUGUGCCCCCUGAGGCCCGAAGAGGACAUUGGAUUCCCUAAGACUGGAGAGGUUUGCUGGGCCCAUUUUACUGAUAAAGAACCAGAGUAAAUCUAAGGAAAUUAUGUGGAAAUAUUUCCCAGGCUAGAAGAAAGUAAUUUUAUACAGAAGAG
This is a long non-coding RNA of Arvicanthis niloticus (Nile rat), 433 nucleotides long. RefSeq lists it as uncharacterized. The record is from RefSeq and is a predicted model, not a curated record. Lineage: Eukaryota; Metazoa; Chordata; Mammalia; Rodentia; Muridae.